GUUUCUUCCAAAUGAUAGACUUUAGGAAGAGAUGAUGCGUAAUGUGAAGGAUACUGUAAUUACAUGUGUUGACCAUUUAUCUUGUCAAGUUUAUCACAAUUUAGGUGCCUUGUGUUUCUGUGAUGUUCUCCAAACUGUAGUUAGCUUCCAUAGCUCUGUUUAAUUGUUGUAUGGUGCCUCUUUUCAGUGAACUCAGGUUUAGGCAUGCUACUGAAAAAGGUUUAGCUUGAUAAACAAAUGACUUUAAUAGUUGUAACUGAGACUGAAGCAACAUUAAAAAG
RNAcentral lists this unclassified non-coding RNA (281 nucleotides) under Hevea brasiliensis (rubber tree). Lineage: Eukaryota; Viridiplantae; Streptophyta; Magnoliopsida; Malpighiales; Euphorbiaceae. The record is from RNAcentral.